RNAcentral lists this ribosomal RNA (436 nucleotides) under uncultured bacterium. RNAcentral describes it as "SSU rRNA". It matches the Rfam family "Bacterial small subunit ribosomal RNA", at positions 1 to 467 of the family's 1533-position model. The record is from RNAcentral.
UCGGCUUAGAGUUUGAUCCUGGCUCAGAACGAACGCUGGCGGCAGGCUUAACACAUGCAAGUCGAGCGCCCCGCAAGGGGAGCGGCAGACGGGUGAGUAACGCGUGGGAAUCUACCCAGUUCUACGGAACAACUGAGGGAAACCUCAGCUAAUACCGUAUACGCCCUACGGGGGAAAGAUUUAUCGGAAUUGGAUGAGCCCGCGUUGGAUUAGCUAGUUGGUGAGGUAACGGCUCACCAAGGCGACGAUCCAUAGCUGGUCUGAGAGGAUGAUCAGCCACACUGGGACUGAGACACGGCCCAGACUCCUACGGGAGGCAGCAGUGGGGAAUAUUGGACAAUGGGCGCAAGCCUGAUCCAGCCAUGCCGCGUGAGUGAUGAAGGCCUUAGGGUUGUAAAGCUCUUUCAAUAGUUUCGAUAAAAGUUGUACCCACGGU